UACGGGGGGGGCAAGCGUUGUUCGGAAUUACUGGGCGUAAAGGGCUCGUAGGUGGCCAACUAAGUCAUGCGUGAAAUCCCUCGGCUUAACCGGGGAACUGCGUCUGAUACUGGAUGGCUUGAGUUUGGGAGAGGGAUGCGGAAUUCCAGGUGUAGCGGUGAAAUGCGUAGAUAUCUGGAGGAACACCGGUGGCGUAGGCGGCAUCCUGGACCAACACUGACACUGAGGAGCGAAAGCCAGGGGAGCAAACGGG
Molecule: ribosomal RNA, 253 nt
Filed under: uncultured bacterium
Lineage: Bacteria
Description: partial 16S ribosomal RNA
Rfam family: Bacterial small subunit ribosomal RNA
Source: RNAcentral